Molecule: ribosomal RNA, 1519 nt
Filed under: Bacillus pichinotyi
Lineage: Bacteria; Bacillati; Bacillota; Bacilli; Caryophanales; Bacillaceae
Description: 16S ribosomal RNA
Rfam family: Bacterial small subunit ribosomal RNA
Source: RNAcentral
UUUGAUCCUGGCUCAGGACGAACGCUGGCGGCGUGCCUAAUACAUGCAAGUCGAGCGAAUCUGAGGGAGCUUGCUCCCAAAGAUUAGCGGCGGACGGGUGAGUAACACGUGGGCAACCUGCCUGUAAGACUGGGAUAACUUCGGGAAACCGGAGCUAAUACCGGAUAAUCCUUUUCUACUCAUGUAGAAAAGCUGAAAGAUGGCUUCGGCUAUCACUUACAGAUGGGCCCGCGGCGCAUUAGCUAGUUGGUGAGGUAACGGCUCACCAAGGCGACGAUGCGUAGCCGACCUGAGAGGGUGAUCGGCCACACUGGGACUGAGACACGGCCCAGACUCCUACGGGAGGCAGCAGUAGGGAAUCUUCCGCAAUGGACGAAAGUCUGACGGAGCAACGCCGCGUGAGUGAUGAAGGUUUUCGGAUCGUAAAACUCUGUUGUUAGGGAAGAACAAGUACCGUUCGAAUAGGGCGGUACCUUGACGGUACCUAACCAGAAAGCCACGGCUAACUACGUGCCAGCAGCCGCGGUAAUACGUAGGUGGCAAGCGUUGUCCGGAAUUAUUGGGCGUAAAGCGCGCGCAGGUGGUUUCUUAAGUCUGAUGUGAAAGCCCCCGGCUCAACCGGGGAGGGUCAUUGGAAACUGGGAGACUUGAGUGCAGAAGAGGAAAGUGGAAUUCCAAGUGUAGCGGUGAAAUGCGUAGAGAUUUGGAGGAACACCAGUGGCGAAGGCGACUUUCUGGUCUGUAACUGACACUGAGGCGCGAAAGCGUGGGGAGCGAACAGGAUUAGAUACCCUGGUAGUCCACGCCGUAAACGAUGAGUGCUAAGUGUUAGAGGGUUUCCGCCCUUUAGUGCUGCAGCAAACGCAUUAAGCACUCCGCCUGGGGAGUACGGCCGCAAGGCUGAAACUCAAAGGAAUUGACGGGGGCCCGCACAAGCGGUGGAGCAUGUGGUUUAAUUCGAAGCAACGCGAAGAACCUUACCAGGUCUUGACAUCCUCUGACAAUCCUAGAGAUAGGACGUUCCCCUUCGGGGGACAGAGUGACAGGUGGUGCAUGGUUGUCGUCAGCUCGUGUCGUGAGAUGUUGGGUUAAGUCCCGCAACGAGCGCAACCCUUGAUCUUAGUUGCCAGCAUUCAGUUGGGCACUCUAAGGUGACUGCCGGUGACAAACCGGAGGAAGGUGGGGAUGACGUCAAAUCAUCAUGCCCCUUAUGACCUGGGCUACACACGUGCUACAAUGGAUGGUACAAAGGGCUGCAAGACCGCGAGGUUUAGCCAAUCCCAUAAAACCAUUCUCAGUUCGGAUUGCAGGCUGCAACUCGCCUGCAUGAAGCCGGAAUCGCUAGUAAUCGCGGAUCAGCAUGCCGCGGUGAAUACGUUCCCGGGCCUUGUACACACCGCCCGUCACACCACGAGAGUUUGUAACACCCGAAGUCGGUGGGGUAACCGCAAGGAGCCAGCCGCCUAAGGUGGGACAGAUGAUUGGGGUGAAGUCGUAACAAGGUAGCCGUANCGGAAGG